GGUUAAGCGACUAAGCGUACACGGUGGAUGCCCUGGCAGUCAGAGGCGAUGAAGGACGUGCUAAUCUGCGAUAAGCGUCGGUAAGGUGAUAUGAACCGUUAUAACCGGCGAUUUCCGAAUGGGGAAACCCAGUGUGAUUCGUCACACUAUCAUUAACUGAAUCCAUAGGUUAAUGAGGCGAACCGGGGGAACUGAAACAUCUAAGUACCCCGAGGAAAAGAAAUCAACCGAGAUUCCCCCAGUAGCGGCGAGCGAACGGGGAGCAGCCCAGAGCCUGAAUCAGUGUGUGUGUUAGUGGAAGCGUCUGGAAAGGCGUGCGAUACAGGGUGACAGCCCCGUACACAAAAAUGCACAUACUGUGAGCUCGAUGAGUAGGGCGGGACACGUGGUAUCCUGUCUGAAUAUGGGGGGACCAUCCUCCAAGGCUAAAUACUCCUGACUGACCGAUAGUGAACCAGUACCGUGAGGGAAAGGCGAAAAGAACCCCGGCGAGGGGAGUGAAAAAGAACCUGAAACCGUGUACGUACAAGCAGUGGGAGCACGCUUAGGCGUGUGACUGCGUACCUUUUGUAUAAUGGGUCAGCGACUUAUAUUCUGUAGCAAGGUUAACCGAAUAGGGGAGCCGAAGGGAAACCGAGUCUUAACUGGGCGUUAAGUUGCAGGGUAUAGACCCGAAACCCGGUGAUCUAGCCAUGGGCAGGUUGAAGGUUGGGUAACACUAACUGGAGGACCGAACCGACUAAUGUUGAAAAAUUAGCGGAUGACUUGUGGCUGGGGGUGAAAGGCCAAUCAAACCGGGAGAUAGCUGGUUCUCCCCGAAAGCUAUUUAGGUAGCGCCUCGUGAAUUCAUCUCCGGGGGUAGAGCACUGUUUCGGCAAGGGGGUCAUCCCGACUUACCAACCCGAUGCAAACUGCGAAUACCGGAGAAUGUUAUCACGGGAGACACACGGCGGGUGCUAACGUCCGUCGUGAAGAGGGAAACAACCCAGACCGCCAGCUAAGGUCCCAAAGUCAUGGUUAAGUGGGAAACGAUGUGGGAAGGCCCAGACAGCCAGGAUGUUGGCUUAGAAGCAGCCAUCAUUUAAAGAAAGCGUAAUAGCUCACUGGUCGAGUCGGCCUGCGCGGAAGAUGUAACGGGGCUAAACCAUGCACCGAAGCUGCGGCAGCGACGCUUAUGCGUUGUUGGGUAGGGGAGCGUUCUGUAAGCCUGUGAAGGUGUGCUGUGAGGUAUGCUGGAGGUAUCAGAAGUGCGAAUGCUGACAUAAGUAACGAUAAAGCGGGUGAAAAGCCCGCUCGCCGGAAGACCAAGGGUUCCUGUCCAACGUUAAUCGGGGCAGGGUGAGUCGACCCCUAAGGCGAGGCCGAAAGGCGUAGUCGAUGGGAAACAGGUUAAUAUUCCUGUACUUGGUGUUACUGCGAAGGGGGGACGGAGAAGGCUAUGUUGGCCGGGCGACGGUUGUCCCGGUUUAAG
This 1471-nucleotide ribosomal RNA is filed under the name Shigella flexneri. RNAcentral describes it as "partial 23S ribosomal RNA". It matches the Rfam family "Bacterial large subunit ribosomal RNA", at positions 1 to 1516 of the family's 2925-position model. The record is from RNAcentral. Lineage: Bacteria; Pseudomonadati; Pseudomonadota; Gammaproteobacteria; Enterobacterales; Enterobacteriaceae.